RNAcentral lists this ribosomal RNA (468 nucleotides) under uncultured bacterium. Its description in RNAcentral is "partial 16S ribosomal RNA". It matches the Rfam family "Bacterial small subunit ribosomal RNA", at positions 28 to 507 of the family's 1533-position model. The record is from RNAcentral.
GACGAACGCUGGUGGCGUGCUUAACACAUGCAAGUCGAACGGAAAGGCCCUUCUUGUGUGGGUUGCUCGAGGGGCGAACGGGUGAGUAACAAGUAAGUAACCUUCCCUUGACGUUGGGAUAACUGCAGGAAACGGGGGUUAAUACCGGAUAGGAUCUCCUGCUGCAUGGUGGGGGUUGGAAAGGUUCGGCGGUUGGGGAUGGACUCGCGGCUUAUCAGCUUGUUGGUGGGGUGGUGGCUUACCAAGGCUUUGACGGGUAGCCGGCCUGGGGGGGUGACCGGCAAAAUUGGGAUUGAGAUACGGCCAAGACUCCUCCGGGAGGCAGCAGUGGGGAAUAUUGCACAAUGGGCGGAAGCCUGAUGAAGCAAGGCGGCGUGCGGGAUGCCGGCCUUCGGUUUGUAAACCGCUUCCGCAUGGGACGAAGCGUGAGUGACGGUACUGGGUAAAGAAGCACCGGCUAACUACGUG